CAUGGGGGAACCUGGAUGCAGCGACGCCGCGUGAGUGAAGAAGUAUUUCGGUAUGUAAAGCUCUAUCAGCAGGGAAGAAAAUGACGGUACCUGACCAAGAAGCCCCGGCUAACUACGUGCCAGCAGCCGCGGUAAUACAAAA
RNAcentral lists this ribosomal RNA (142 nucleotides) under uncultured bacterium. RNAcentral's name for it is "partial 16S ribosomal RNA". It matches the Rfam family "Bacterial small subunit ribosomal RNA", at positions 370 to 530 of the family's 1533-position model. The record is from RNAcentral.